UCCCAUUCCCUUAUCAGGACUGAACACAGACCACUCACCAUGGGGUUUGGGCUCUGCUGGAUUUUCCUUGUUGCUAUUUUAAGAGGUGUCCAGUGUGAGGUGCAGCUGGUGGAGUCUGGGGGAGGCUUGGUGCAGCCUGGGGGGUCUCUGAGACUCUCCUGUGCAGCCUCUGGAUUCACCUUCAGUAGCAACAGCAUGAACUGGGUCCGCCAGGCUCCAGGGAAGGGGCUGGAGUGGGUGGCAGUUAUAUGGAAUGAUGGAAGUCAGAAAUACUAUGCAGACUCUGUAAAAGGCCGCUUCACCAUCUCCAGAGACAAUGCCAAGAAUAUGCUGUAUCUUCAAAUGAACAGUCUGAGAGCUGAGGACACGGCCAUGUAUUACUGUGCAAGAUACACAGUGAGGAGAAGUCAGUGUGAGCCCAGACCUCAGGUCCCAGCCAGCCAGCAGCAGGAGACCUGUGUGCUGGACAGCGGACACCAGAUGAGUGUGACUGCAAAGCUAGAGAAGAAGGACCCCGGCGGUGACGUUCAUUCACUUGUCAUCACUCUCAUAGCACCAAUAGCAGGUGAUGCCAUCAAGAGGAAGUACAGGGACCCACCGUACCAUGGAAUGGAUGUGCAGACUGAUGAUGUUAUCACACAGAGGGACCUUGAAAAGGUUUAUCGCUUCAUGGAGGUGUCUGUUGGGAGCAGAGCAGGCUUUUCAACAAGUAAGUCUUGA
Myotis lucifugus (little brown bat) is the source of this 720-nucleotide non-coding RNA. NCBI's taxonomy places the organism in Eukaryota, Metazoa, Chordata, Mammalia, Chiroptera, Vespertilionidae. The record is from the annotation of a RefSeq genome assembly.